Long non-coding RNA from Glycine soja, 905 nucleotides. RefSeq lists it as uncharacterized. The record is from RefSeq and is a predicted model, not a curated record. The transcript is spliced from 2 exons. NCBI's taxonomy places the organism in Eukaryota, Viridiplantae, Streptophyta, Magnoliopsida, Fabales, Fabaceae.
UUCAUCAUAAAGGGUCUAGUAUAAUUGAAAAAUAUUUUCUUCUAUGGUUUAAGCAUUGAUAUAUUUAUACUUGAAUUUGUUGACAGAUAUGGUAACAGACCAAACUUAGGAGGAAUAGAGCUGAUGAAUGAGCCAAAAGGUGUGAAUCUAGACAUCCUUAAGAAGUAUUACAAAGAAGCUUAUGAUGCUGUGAGGAAGCACAGCUCAAGUGCUUAUGCGAUCAUGUCAAAUCCAUUGGAUGCAGAUUCUAAAGUGAUUCUCUCAUUUGUGAAAGGCUUUGACAGAGUAGUCAUUGAUGUGCAUUACUACAAUCUUUAUUCCUGCAAAUUCAACAACAUGAAUGCUCAACAAAAUAUUGACUUCAUAAGAGAGGAUCCUCAAAUGCUGAGUUUUGUAGGGUAGUGGACUGGUGCAUGGCAUGCGUCUAAGGAAGACUUAAAAAGGUAUGCUCAAGCACAAUUGGAUGUGUAUUCUCGUGCAACUUUUGGACGGGCUUAUUGGUCCAACAAGUGUAGGUUCAACGAUGGAUGCUAGGUGCAACCAGCAUGUUUUACGGAUCAACUUGAUCCGUAUGCUUAAUAUUAAUAUACGGAUUAACUUGAUUUGUAUUAAUCUUAUAGAUCAACUUGAUCCGUACGAUUUGAGGAUUAUUCUUAUGCACACUCAGCACAAAUGCGAAGAAAGCGUAAAAGUAGUUUUAGCAUUUUUAAAAAAUGUUGGGUGCACCAGCAAUAAUGCUAGGUGCACCUAGCAUCAGCCUUCAACGAAUGGAUCAUGAAGUGGAUGAUCCAAAACGGUUACAUAAAGCUCUAAGUUAUGGACAAAAACACUAUAGAUAUGUUGAUGAACCCAAAAAGGAGUCUAUAUUUAGCAAGUUAAUUGAGAUGUUGUUUCACUUCUUGUUC